RNAcentral lists this long non-coding RNA (424 nucleotides) under Olea europaea subsp. europaea. The record is from RNAcentral. Lineage: Eukaryota; Viridiplantae; Streptophyta; Magnoliopsida; Lamiales; Oleaceae.
GCUUUGCAAUGAAACCAACUCUUCAAUAGUAAGUGGCUUAUCAUUUACAACAACCAGAUGAGGUGGUAACUGAUUUACUUCACAAGAGUGCUCGGGUUUCAUAAUGUGCUUAAAGGUUUCAUCAACGAGGAUUCUCCUCAGCAGUGGAGAAGUUUUGCCUAAUGAUCCACGCCUCGACUCAUCAAUUCGAUAACCAACGCAAGUAAUACAUUUUCGCCCUUCUGGCAUUGAUCCCAUUGCUCUGAUCACGCACUUAAUGCAAUACUUAGAACCACAAACAAUACAAACUUCCUUGUUUGCUGUUGCAUUGGUGGCAUAAGCCUUUUACCUCGUUCGGUACCACUGGUAUCUCCACAAUGACUACCAACCGAAAGUGAUCACUUUCAUUAGAAGUUAUUUCAUGUUGUGUAAAUUCAUGAAAAUC